This 63-nucleotide transfer RNA is filed under the name Heterocephalus glaber (naked mole-rat). It matches the Rfam family "tRNA", at positions 5 to 66 of the family's 71-position model. From Rfam's summary of the family: Transfer RNA (tRNA) molecules are approximately 80 nucleotides in length. Their secondary structure includes four short double-helical elements and three loops (D, anti-codon, and T loops). The record is from Rfam by way of RNAcentral. Lineage: Eukaryota; Metazoa; Chordata; Mammalia; Rodentia; Bathyergidae.
AUGUAGCUUAGUGGCAGAGCACCUGCCUGGCAAGCACAAGUCCCUGAGUUUGAUUCCCAGUAU